This is a long non-coding RNA of Hemicordylus capensis (graceful crag lizard), 809 nucleotides long. RefSeq lists it as uncharacterized. NCBI's taxonomy places the organism in Eukaryota, Metazoa, Chordata, Lepidosauria, Squamata, Cordylidae. The record is from RefSeq and is a predicted model, not a curated record. The transcript has 6 exons.
GGAAAUUGUGCACUCAAGAAUGCUGUAUGAAACCAUGGGGUGUGUGUUCGCAUACGCAGAGGAUGCUUAUUUUGCAAGCAUUCCCCUGUAAGCCCACUAGGUCCAUGCUCCAAAAUUACCUAGCGGCACCUCUGAGGUAUGUUGGCAUCACAAAUAAUUUAAACCAAGAUCAGUCAGUGCUCUAAUACCGAAUGGAGUAUUAAGAAAUCGUGCCAAGUGACAUAGAAAUCCUGUUAGAGAACUCAGAAAGGGAGAUUUCUUUAUCUCCCCCAACUACAGCAGAAGUGCACAGGCUUGAAAUAACAAGACAGUCACAGUCAUCAUCGGCUGAAGAACUAGAUGGAGAACUGCAAAGUCCCCAAUAAAUUGUUGUGACCUACAAAAUCUAUGAAACCAAUUAGGCGCAACCAACUCGGGUCCUAUGAAUUUCAAAGGAAGGGCCAUUGGGGAAUGGACGAUAAGCUCUGGAUUUCAGAAAACGCUUCUGAACUUUAAGAAUCAUUCAACAGUGGAACCAAUUGCCCAUCACAAAUUUCAGGGGAAAAAAUAGAUGAGAUAAUACUAACAGAAAGAAGAGUGGUUAUUUCCUAUAAAUAGUUCACCAAAUGACGGCCGGAUUGCAGCUUUUGAUCAGCCACAGAGAUAGAUAUCUGAGAGAGUUCUAUACCUGCUGCAGUGUAUAUGUGGAACCCUUAUGUGCCUAAGUAGAAAAAGCAGCUCUAUGCGUGCAUGCAAGAUACACACCAGGUUGUUCCAUCUACUGAUUUGAAUGCAGAACUUCUUGCAACAGAGCCUCUACAUUUCUAAGA